CCUACGGGUGGCAGCAGUGAGGAAUUUUGGUCAAUGGCCGGAAGGCUGAACCAGCCAUGCCGCGUGAAGGUCAGUGCCCUAUGGGCGUUAAACUUCUUUUGUGCGGGAGCAAUAAUGGUCACGUGUGGCCCUACGAGAGUACCGUACGAAUAAGCAUCGGCUCACCCCGUGCCAGCAGCCGCGGGAAUGCGGGGGAUGCAAGCGUUAUCCGGAGUUAUUGGGUUUAAAGGGUGCGUAGGCUGGGAGGUAAGUCAGCGGUGAAAUGCCCCCGCUCAACGGGGUGAAGUGCCAUUGAUACUGCCUGGCUGGAAUGCGGAUGCCGUGGGAGGAAUGUGUGGUGUAGCGGUGAAAUGCAUAGAUAUCACACAGAACACCGAUUGCGAAGGCAUCUCACGAAGCCGCGAUUGACGCUGAUGCACGAAAGCGUGGGUAUCAAACAGGAUUAGAUACCCUUGUAGUC
RNAcentral lists this ribosomal RNA (460 nucleotides) under uncultured bacterium. RNAcentral describes it as "partial 16S ribosomal RNA". It matches the Rfam family "Bacterial small subunit ribosomal RNA", at positions 338 to 795 of the family's 1533-position model. The record is from RNAcentral.